AUUGAACGCUGGCGGCAGGCCUAACACAUGCAAGUCGAGCGGGGUUUUCGGACCUAGCGGCGGACGGGUGAGUAAUGCGUAGGAAGCUGCCCAAUAGAGGGGGAUACCAGUUGGAAACGACUGUUAAUACCGCAUAAUGUCUACGGACCAAAGUGUGGGACCUUCGGGCCACAUGCUAUCGGAUGCGCCUACGUGGGAUU
This 200-nucleotide ribosomal RNA is filed under the name uncultured bacterium. Its description in RNAcentral is "partial 16S ribosomal RNA". It matches the Rfam family "Bacterial small subunit ribosomal RNA", at positions 30 to 242 of the family's 1533-position model. The record is from RNAcentral.